UGAGUGCGAGCUGCUACGGCAGCGAAGUUGGUGAUGUCAUGCUUCCAAGAAAAGCCCUAUACCCGUUAAGGCAUCAUGGCCCGUACCCGAAACCGACACAGGUGGGGUGGUAGAGAAUACCGAGGGGCGCGAGGUAACUCUCUCUAAGGAACUCGGCAAAAUGGCCCCGUAACUUCGGGAGAAGGGGUGCCACCGCAAGGUGGUCGCAGUGAAGAGGCCCAGGCGACUGUUUACCAAAAACACAGGUCUCCGCUAAGUCGCAAGACGAUGUAUGGGGGCUGACGCCUGCCCAGUGCCGGAAGGUUAAGGAAGCUGGUCAGCGCAAGCGAAGCUAGCGACUGAAGCCCCGGUGAACGGCGGCCGUAACAAUAACGGUCCUAAGGUAGCGAAAUUCCUUGUCGGGUAAGUUCCGACCCGCACGAAAGGCGUAACGAUCUGGGCGCUGUCUCGGAGAGAGGCUCGGCGAAAUAGAAUUGUCUGUGAAGAUGCGGACUACGUGCACCCGGACAGAAAGACCCUAUGAAGCUUUACUGUAGCUUGGUAUUGUGCCCGGGCUCGCAAUGCGCAGGAUAGGUGAGAGGCUUUGAUCAUCGGCUUGCGGGUCGAUGUGAGCCAACGGUGAGAUACCACUCUUUGCGAGCUAGGGUUCUAACGGCCACCCGUCAUCCGGGGGCCGGACAGCACCUGGUGGGCAGUUUGACUGGGGCGGUCGCCUCCUAAAAGGUAACGGAGGCGCGCAAAGGUUUGCUCAGGCUGGUUGGAAAUCAGCCGACGAGUGUAAAAGCAGAAGCAAGCUUGACUGUGAGACCAACAAGUCGAACAGGGAGGAAACUCGGCUUUAGUGAUCCGACGGUUCUGAGUGGAAGGGCCGUCGCUCAACGGAUAAAAGUUACUCUAGGAUAACAGGCUGAUCUCCCCCAAGAGUUCACAUCGACGGGGAGGUUUGGCACCUCGAUGUCGGCUCAUCGCAACCUGGGGCUGAAGUCGGUCCCAAGGGUUGGGCUGUUCGCCCAUUAAAGCGGUACGCGAGUUGGGUUCUGAACGUCGUGAGACAGUUCGGUCCAUAUCCGGUGCACGCGCAGGAAUAUUGAGAGGAUUUCUCCCUAGUACGAGAGGACCGGGAGGAACGCACCUCUGGUGUACCAGUUAUCGUGCCAACGGUAAACGCUGGGUAGCCAUGUGCGGAGUGGAUAACCGCUGAAAGCAUCUAAGUGGGAAGCCCACCUCAAGAUGAGUAUUCCCAUGGCGUAAGCCAGUAAGGUCACGGGAAGAACACCCGUUGAUAGGCUCUAUGUGGAAGCGCAGUAAUGCGUGAAGCAGAGGAGUACUAAUAGACCGAGGGCUUGAU
RNAcentral lists this ribosomal RNA (1348 nucleotides) under metagenome. RNAcentral describes it as "bacterial LSU rRNA". It matches the Rfam family "Bacterial large subunit ribosomal RNA", at positions 1564 to 2925 of the family's 2925-position model. The record is from RNAcentral.